This 497-nucleotide ribosomal RNA is filed under the name uncultured bacterium. RNAcentral's name for it is "partial 16S ribosomal RNA". It matches the Rfam family "Bacterial small subunit ribosomal RNA", at positions 28 to 507 of the family's 1533-position model. The record is from RNAcentral.
GAUGAACGCUGGCGGCGUGCCUAAUACAUGCAAGUCGAGCGAACAGAUAAGGAGCUUGCUCCUUUGACGUUAGCGGCGGACGGGUGAGUAACACGUGGGUAACCUACCUAUAAGACUGGAAUAACUCCGGGAAACCGGGGCUAAUGCCGGAUAACAUUUAGAACCGCAUGGUUCUAAAGUGAAAGAUGGUUUUGCUAUCACUUAUAGAUGGACCCGCGCCGUAUUAGCUAGUUGGUAAGGUAACGGCUUACCAAGGCAACGAUACGUAGCCGACCUGAGAGGGUGAUCGGCCACACUGGAACUGAGACACGGUCCAGACUCCUACGGGAGGCAGCAGUAGGGAAUCUUCCGCAAUGGGCGAAAGCCUGACGGAGCAACGCCGCGUGAGUGAUGAAGGUCUUCGGAUCGUAAAACUCUGUUAUUAGGGAAGAACAAAUGUGUAAGUAACUGUGAACGUCUUGACGGUACCUAAUCAGAAAGCCACGGCUAACUACGUG